UCUUCCGCAAUGGACGAAAGUCUGACGGAGCAACGCCGCGUGAGUGAUGAAGGUAUUCGGAUCGUAAAACUCUGUUGUUUGGGAAGAACAAGUACCGUUCGAAUAGGGCUGUACCUUGCCGGCACCUAACCAGACAGCAACGGCUAACUACGUGCCAGCAGCCGCGGUAAUACGUAGGUGGCAAGCGUUGUCCGGAAUUAUUGGGCGUAAAGCGCGCGCAGGCGGUUUCUUAAGUCUGAUGUGGAAGCCCCCGGCUCAACCGGGGAGGGUCAUUGGAAACUGGGGAACUUGAGUGCAGAAGAGGAGAGUGGAAUUCCACGUGUAGCGGUGAAAUGCGUAGAGAUGUGGAGGAACACCAGUGGCGAAGGCGACUCUCUGGUCUGUAACUGACGCUGAGGCGCGAAAGCGUGGGGAGCGAACAG
This 422-nucleotide ribosomal RNA is filed under the name uncultured bacterium. Its description in RNAcentral is "bacterial SSU rRNA". It matches the Rfam family "Bacterial small subunit ribosomal RNA", at positions 362 to 775 of the family's 1533-position model. The record is from RNAcentral.